RNAcentral lists this ribosomal RNA (645 nucleotides) under uncultured bacterium. RNAcentral's name for it is "bacterial SSU rRNA". It matches the Rfam family "Bacterial small subunit ribosomal RNA", at positions 167 to 810 of the family's 1533-position model. The record is from RNAcentral.
ACCCGCGUACAUGCCACCGGGGCAUCCCGGAGGCAGGAAAGGCUUCGGCCGGACAGGGAUGGGCAUGCGGCGCAUUAGGCAGUAGGCGGGGUAACGGCCCACCUAACCGACGAUGCGUAGGGGUUCUGAGAGGAAGGUCCCCCACACUGGUACUGAGACACGGACCAGACUCCUACGGGAGGCAGCAGUGAGGAAUAUUGGUCAAUGGUCGGGAGACUGAACCAGCCAAGCCGCGUGAGGGAUGAAGGUACAGAGUAUCGUAAACCUCUUUUGUCAGGGAACAAAGGCGGGGACGUGUCCCCGGAUGAGUGUACCUGAAGAAAAAGCAUCGGCUAACUCCGUGCCAGCAGCCGCGGUAAUACGGAGGAUGCGAGCGUUAUCCGGAUUUAUUGGGUUUAAAGGGUGCGCAGGCGGUCUGUUAAGUCAGCGGUCAAAGCCCGGGGCUCAACCCCGGCCCGCCGUUGAAACUGGCAGUCUCGAGUUGGAGAGAAGUAUGCGGAAUGCGCGGUGUAGCGGUGAAAUGCAUAGAUAUCGCGCAGAACUCCGAUUGCGAAGGCAGCAUGCCGGCUCCACACUGACGCUGAGGCACGAAAGCGUGGGUAUCGAACAGGAUUAGAUACCCUGGUAGUCCACGCAGUAAACGAC